Molecule: RNA transcript, 1230 nt
Organism: Rhinopithecus roxellana (golden snub-nosed monkey)
Lineage: Eukaryota; Metazoa; Chordata; Mammalia; Primates; Cercopithecidae
Gene name: histone H2B type 1-K
Exons: 3
Source: RefSeq, a predicted model, not a curated record
UUCUAUAUAAAAACGACUCCUGGUGCCUUGCUCCCAUUACUUCCCGUUUUCUCCAUCUGCUGUUAGUCCGCUUCGACUUGUAGCUUCGCCCUCAACAUGCCGGAGCCAGCGAAAUCCGCUCCUGCGCCCAAGAAGGGCUCGAAGAAGGCAGUGACUAAGGCCCAGAAGAAAGACGGCAAGAAGCGCAAGCGCAGCCGCAAGGAGAGCUACUCCGUGUACGUGUACAAGGUGCUGAAGCAGGUCCACCCUGACACCGGCAUUUCCUCUAAGGCCAUGGGAAUCAUGAACUCCUUCGUCAACGACAUCUUCGAGCGCAUUGCGGGUGAGGCUUCCCGCCUGGCGCAUUACAACAAGCGCUCGACCAUCACCUCCAGGGAGAUCCAGACAGCCGUGCGCCUGCUGCUGCCCGGGGAGUUGGCCAAGCACGCCGUGUCCGAGGGCACCAAGGCCGUCACCAAGUACACCAGCGCUAAGUAAACCUGCCAAGCUGUACCCAGCUCUGCCUUGCUUGCUUCCGUCUCACCCCCCGUUUCCACCUCUCCAGCCCACAAGACAUCGGGAAGAUGCCAGACCACCAGGCAGGAUAGUCUGCAAGGCUUAUAGAAAAGGAAAAGCAACUGGAUCCAGAAGGGGAAACAGACUGAGACUAGAGACAGUCCGCCCCGAAGCAAGAAGUUGGAGUAGAGGAGAAGACCAGCAGCACAGGGUCUGAGCAGAGUUAGGUGGGUUUUAUUGUGUAACUGGAGGCUAGAAUGGCUAUGCCGGUGAUAAGCAGUGUGGAACUUUUUUGGAAGAACCAAGUGAAAGAAAGGGUCCACGAAUUUUAAGCUAGGUUGUUACCUGGCUAAAUUUGUGAUUUAGAAAUGCAGGCCAGUUUCACAGGGAAAUUUUUAAUGUAUAUGUGUCUGUAUAUAUAUUUAAAACAUAUUUGGCCAUGCAUUGUUCUAGUCUUUGGGGAUAUUGCCCGCCCUUGAGCAUUUGGAGAUUAGCAAGGUCGUAUUGGAAAACUUUAAAUACAUGCAAAGCAUAUGUUCACUGUUCAUCUAAGUCUUAUUUAUCCUAUCAGCAAUUUUGGGGUUACAUUAAUAUUCUAAGAAAUGUAUCAACAAGUAAUUAUAUUUAUUGUUUACCUAUAUAGAAGGCACUGAUCUAUAUCUAUACCUAUAUAGGAGGCAAUCACUUGAAGUCAGGAAUUCGAAAGCAGCAUGGCUAACAUAGUGAAACCCGUCU